This 675-nucleotide ribosomal RNA is filed under the name Trichophyton concentricum. RNAcentral's name for it is "eukaryotic LSU rRNA". The stretch from base 283 to 436 matches the Rfam family "5.8S ribosomal RNA". Lineage: Eukaryota; Fungi; Ascomycota; Eurotiomycetes; Onygenales; Arthrodermataceae. The record is from RNAcentral.
GGUUUCCGUAGGUGAACCUGCGGAAGGAUCAUUAACGCGCAGGCCGGAGGCUGGCCCCCCACGAUAGGAAUCAACGUUCCAUCAGGGGUGUGCAGAUGUGCGCCGGUCUUACGCCCCAUUCUUGUCUACCUUACUCGGUUGCCUCGGCGGGCCGCGCUCUCCUGGGAGAGUCGUCCGGCGAGCCUCUUUGGGGGCUUUAGCUGGAUCGCGCCCGCCGGAGGACAGACAUCAAAAAAUCUUGGAAAGCUGUCAGUCUGAGCGUUAGCAAGUAAAAUUAGUUAAAACUUUCAACAACGGAUCUCUUGGUUCCGGCAUCGAUGAAGAACGCAGCGAAAUGCGAUAAGUAAUGUGAAUUGCAGAAUUCCGUGAAUCAUCGAAUCUUUGAACGCACAUUGCGCCCUCUGGUAUUCCGGGGGGCAUGCCUGUUCGAGCGUCAUUUCAACCCCUCAAGCCCGGCUUGUGUGAUGGACGACCGUCCGACCUCCUCUUUCGGGGGCGGGACGCGCCCGAAAAGCAGUGGCCAGGCCGCGAUCCCGGCUUCCUGGGCGAAUGGGCAGUCAAACCAGCGCCCUCAGGACCGGCCGCUCUGGCCUUCCCCCAAAUCUCUCUGAGAUAUUUUUUCAGGUUGACCUCGGAUCAGGUAGGGAUACCCGCUGAACUUAAGCAUAUCAAUAA